RNAcentral lists this transfer RNA (63 nucleotides) under Isonychia sp. XL-2019. RNAcentral describes it as "tRNA-Cys". It matches the Rfam family "tRNA". From Rfam's summary of the family: Transfer RNA (tRNA) molecules are approximately 80 nucleotides in length. Their secondary structure includes four short double-helical elements and three loops (D, anti-codon, and T loops). Further hydrogen bonds mediate the characteristic L-shaped molecular structure. tRNAs have two regions of fundamental functional importance: the anti-codon, which is responsible for specific mRNA codon recognition, and the 3' end, to which the tRNAs corresponding amino acid is attached (by aminoacyl-tRNA synthetases). tRNAs cope with the degeneracy of the genetic code in two manners: having more than one tRNA (with a specific anti-codon) for a particular amino acid; and 'wobble' base-pairing, i.e. permitting non-standard base-pairing at the 3rd anti-codon position. The record is from RNAcentral. Lineage: Eukaryota; Metazoa; Arthropoda; Insecta; Ephemeroptera; Isonychiidae.
GGCCUUAUAGUCGAAGUAAAGACAUCAGACUGCAAUUCUGGGAGUGUAAUGUUACUAAGGCUU